This 186-nucleotide non-coding RNA is filed under the name Bacillota bacterium. Its description in RNAcentral is "6S RNA". It matches the Rfam family "6S / SsrS RNA". From Rfam's summary of the family: E. coli 6S RNA was the first non coding RNA to be sequenced, but its function was unknown until recently. It consists of 184 nucleotides that fold into an extended hairpin structure with a large single-stranded internal bulge. The record is from RNAcentral. Lineage: Bacteria; Bacillati; Bacillota.
AAGACCCUACCGUGUGCGAUGUGGUGCUGGUAACUUCUGUUCCAACACCAUAUGAAAGGGAGCCUGGUCUCCGGGUGCGGCGCGUAUGCCGCGGUGGUGCGGACACGCAAAACAUUCGGGAGGGCACCCACCUGCAGGGCGCAGGGAUAUGAGAUGUUACCGGUAAGACGGCACGGUGGGGUCUUC